This 434-nucleotide ribosomal RNA is filed under the name uncultured bacterium. Its description in RNAcentral is "partial 16S ribosomal RNA". It matches the Rfam family "Bacterial small subunit ribosomal RNA", at positions 29 to 507 of the family's 1533-position model. The record is from RNAcentral.
AGCGAACGCUGGCGGCAGGCCUAACACAUGCAAGUCGAACGAACCUUUCGGGGUUAGUGGCGGACGGGUGAGUAACACGUGGGAACGUGCCUUUAGGUUCGGAAUAACUCAGGGAAACUUGUGCUAAUACCGAAUGUGCCCUUCGGGGGAAAGAUUAAUCGCCUUUAAAGCGGCCCGCGUCUGAUUAGCUAGUUGGUUGAGGUAAUGGCUCACCAAGGCGACGAUCAGUAGCUGGUCUGAGAGGAUGAUCAGCCACAUUGGGACUGAGACACGGCCCAAACUCCUACGGGAGGCAGCAGUGGGGAAUCUUGCGCAAUGGGCGAAAGCCUGACGCAGCCAUGCCGCGUGAAUGAUGAAGGUCUUAGGAUUGUAAAAUUCUUUCACCGGGGACGAUAAUGACGGUACCCGGAGAAGAAGCCCCGGCUAACUUCGUG